RNAcentral lists this ribosomal RNA (776 nucleotides) under Bacillus pumilus. RNAcentral describes it as "bacterial SSU rRNA". It matches the Rfam family "Bacterial small subunit ribosomal RNA", at positions 38 to 796 of the family's 1533-position model. The record is from RNAcentral. Lineage: Bacteria; Bacillati; Bacillota; Bacilli; Caryophanales; Bacillaceae.
AGUGCGGGUACUAAUACAUGCAAGUCGAGCGGACAGAAGGGAGCUUGCUCCCGGAUGUUAGCGGCGGACGGGUGAGUAACACGUGGGUAACCUGCCUGUAAGACUGGGAUAACUCCGGGAAACCGGAGCUAAUACCGGAUAGUUCCUUGAACCGCAUGGUUCAAGGAUGAAAGACGGUUUCGGCUGUCACUUACAGAUGGACCCGCGGCGCAUUAGCUAGUUGGUGGGGUAAUGGCUCACCAAGGCGACGAUGCGUAGCCGACCUGAGAGGGUGAUCGGCCACACUGGGACUGAGACACGGCCCAGACUCCUACGGGAGGCAGCAGUAGGGAAUCUUCCGCAAUGGACGAAAGUCUGACGGAGCAACGCCGCGUGAGUGAUGAAGGUUUUCGGAUCGUAAAGCUCUGUUGUUAGGGAAGAACAAGUGCGAGAGUAACUGCUCGCACCUUGACGGUACCUAACCAGAAAGCCACGGCUAACUACGUGCCAGCAGCCGCGGUAAUACGUAGGUGGCAAGCGUUGUCCGGAAUUAUUGGGCGUAAAGGGCUCGCAGGCGGUUUCUUAAGUCUGAUGUGAAAGCCCCCGGCUCAACCGGGGAGGGUCAUUGGAAACUGGGAAACUUGAGUGCAGAAGAGGAGAGUGGAAUUCCACGUGUAGCGGUGAAAUGCGUAGAGAUGUGGAGGAACACCAGUGGCGAAGGCGACUCUCUGGUCUGUAACUGACGCUGAGGAGCGAAAGCGUGGGGAGCGAACAGGAUUAGAUACCCGGGGUAGUCC